GGUUGUGGCUCAGUGGUAGAGCGCUUGCCUUGCAUGUGUGAGGCACUGGGUUUGAUUCUGAGCACCA
RNAcentral lists this transfer RNA (67 nucleotides) under Marmota monax (woodchuck). Its description in RNAcentral is "tRNA.Ala". Lineage: Eukaryota; Metazoa; Chordata; Mammalia; Rodentia; Sciuridae. The record is from RNAcentral.